UCGAGAGCGUUUUCCUUCAUAUAAAAGUUUGUACAGGUUUGUCCUUUGCUCUAAAAAAGGAUUGGGCAUCUUGCUGCACCUUAUUUAGUUUCAUUACUUGUUACCCAUUACAAAUUACCUUAUCACAAAACCAUCUAUUACCGAUAAUUUCAAUGCUUGCAGAGAAUACCUUGUUGAAAACCGUUUAUCAUUUUCUUCUGCUCCUCGUUGGGUUCGACACUCUUCUAUCGAAAGGACUACCAUAGAUCGCCUGUACUCACCGCCGCCUCCGAUCGCCGCCAUGCUCACCACCACCUCUCGCUGACAGGGCUUCGCCCGUACAUCUGGCACGAAGGGCAGGCGGAUCCGGCGGGGAGGUGUAGAAGGGCUCCCCGUCAUCCGUUCCCGCCGGCCACGUAGCUGGCCGAUCCGAAUCUGGUUGCUGACCUCAGGCACAGCGGUGUGGUGAGGCUAGAAGGAGGGACGGCAUCCUCAUAUCGUCGGGCAAGGUCUGCUUACCUCAGCCGAGCAGCGCUGUUGAUCUUCAUGGCGAGGCCCUCCCAGUCGGCGGUGAAGUAGCCGGAGCUGGACCGAGGUCGAGCGCGACAAGCUACUCNNNNNNNNNNNNNNNNNNNNNNNNNNNNNNNNNNNNNNNNNNNNNNNNNNNNNNNNNNNNNNNNNNNNNNNNNNNNNNNNNNNNNNNNNNNNNNNNNNNNNNNNNNNNNNNNNNNNNNNNNNNNNNNNNNNNNNNNNNNNNNNNNNNNNNNNNNNNNNNNNNNNNNNNNNNNNNNNNNNNNNNNNNNNNNNNNNNNNNNNNNNNNNNNNNNNNNNNNNNNNNNNNNNNNNNNNNNNNNNNNNNNNNNNNNNNNNNNNNNNNNNNAGGGGUUUCAUUCUGGUUCGCGUUGGUGCUCGGCAGGGGAAGCAGAUUUGCUCUUGCGCAUUGCUCUGCUAAAUGUGAAGAUUUUUCUGUUUUACAUGUGUUAUCCUGCUGGCCAGGUUUGGGUUUUGUUGGAGUAGAUGGUGUAUGUCUUCAUCUGUGAAGAGAAUGAUUUUGUCAAGGGAUUCAGCUAUAGUUUGUUGGCAGAAAAGUAAGAGGAUGAGGAUGCAACUAAUGAUAUUUCUGUAACUUCCCUCUGUCUUUUUGUCUGUUAUAGGUUUUAGAGUUAAAUGUAGAAGCAUUUGUUAGCUUGGAACUAUGAUACAGGUAUAGUUAGUAGUACCAAAUCUCUGCAAAGUGCUAGUAAGAAAAUGCUCGAAUGUUUAUGUUGCUGCCGGCAUGGCUGCCCUUCCUCUCAAUUAGUUUUCUGGAUGAUAUUUCAGUGAAGCAAUGGAUAUAAUCUGCACAUGCGUGCUCAUGCUAUCCAAGAAUUGAUGUAUUAAAAUGCCCAUGUGUAUUGUGCCUUUUUAGUGUCGUUUCGCCUGUAUUAAACAUCUACUGAAAAAUGCUUUAUGUGACUAGAAGAAAUCAAAGCCGUGGUACAUGUGCUGAAGUUUUUUGUCCCUAAUUUUUUCUUUCUUUCUUGGAACUUUGAUAUACGCUCAAGUGGUUUGUGCUUGCUCAUGCACUAACUGGUGUGCAAUGCCAGCUUCACUGGACUAUCACAUUUGUGAUUGAGCCAAUUGUCCUCAUUUCUUCACAAUUGUACGAUUAAGAUUUUACUUCUGUUUAUAGCGAAUGAUUUGUUAGGUUCUAGGCAUCUCAUCUACCCUGUGUAAAAGGAAAGAUAGUGUUUGCAUUCGAUUAUCUUUGUUUAUAUCAGCAGAGCAACUUCCCUGGGGAUGACAAAGAAAUUCGAUCCACAAAAUCUUUUGAAUUCAUUUCGUAUAUUUUUUUUUGAGCUGUGCUGUUUUCCAUAGUACUAAAUUUGUAUUAGUUAUUCCUACAAGUGUUAGUUAUUCAUAAGCAUAUAAUAUAAUCUGCUACUGUCAAAUUUUAGUUUACACUAACUUGUAAGCUAUACUGCUAGAUAGCACCUUAGUUAUUUCUUUAGUGAAUCAUCAGCAAGUUUCUUUGACCAUUUAACACCAGUAUUGAAAGUCCUUGCCUAUCACUGGUUUAUCUUGGUUCAAAUAUUAUUGAUAAUCUUCAAGUUAUCAUUGGCCAUGGACACCUUAUAUUGAGUUCAGUUUUGGACAUGCGUUCACUUAGUGUAGAAGUACAGGCUCAUUGUAUUCGCUUGUCGUUUCCCCUUUUCAUGAUAUGCUUGUACUGACAAAUUGAAUCACUGUUGGUGACAAUAUUUACGUCUGAAACUCUGGUAUUCUACUCUAUUUCCUGAUACCUUGUCAGUCAGUAUGUACUGAGUAUAUCUACAUUACAGGUUUCUGUAGUUCAAGAUUAAAGGCAAGAAUCAGGCAAAUAUGAUUAUGAGAACAAGGCUAAUGAUGGAGAACCUUCAUCUACGGAAGCUGAGCAGUCUAUUGGGAAAACUAAGUUUCAAUGUGCAUCCUGAGUUUCAGCUACCUGAAAUCAAAGGCCAAUUUCAGUCGAUCCCGAAGUAAACUACCACAUGUAAGUUUAGGGACACACAUUAGUUUCCGGCUAGGGAUUUAAUGGCUGCUGAACUUUAUGCACACAUGGUGUAGUAGAGAUGCAGGCUUCGUUAUCCUGCAGUUAUCUGAUUUUUUUCUGAACUGCACUCCUCUUGCCUUGAGUUUUGUUCUUAACCAAAUUAUUACUUACUGACAAACGAAUGCUUGUUUGCCGUCCUCACAUGUAUAUUCAGAUGAGGGGUACCCCAUGCUGCUGUUAGAUAAAUCAUGAAUCAAGAGAGCAUAGUGGAGAGAGGGGAGAGACCAAUAUACGUCUUUGUCAAAUGUUUUUAUUGACAAAUGCAUUCGAUUUAUUGGCAGCAACACAACAUUCCUUUGUUGGCAAAAGCAUUCGCCUGCCCAGAUGCAGAUUCUAUGUUUACCUUAGGAAGUUCUUUUAGCGUUCUACUUCUUGACUUCAAAUUUUGUAGUGUAUUGGAUUUUGAGAUAUAAGAUAGAUACUUAGUAUGAUUGUCUGGUUUAUGUGCUAGUCCCAGGUAAAAUCGGAGUUAGCUUCUUAUGAAUGUCGAACCAUUAAUAUCAACUUAACUCCUAACAGUGCUAGCUUACUUGCCAUAUCAAAUGACUCGGUAUGCAUCAGGCUAGCUAGGCGAUAUGAAAUUUUACUGUUCUGAUUGACGUGAUAUUUAGAGUUCUAAUUGACAUAUUCUUUUUCAAAUAUCCAGUUAAGACCUCUGUGUUCCUUCGUCCGGGGAGGGACAUGCACCACUCCUCUAAACCUCGUAAUGCAUGCAGCGUAGGAAUAUCUAGGUAAUCGGAAAGUCGGACUUUGAGCAGCAGAGGACAUGCUAUCUUUUUUGAAACAUAAAAAUAUCUUACCUGAUAUAUUAAGGGAACGCAGAUUUUCAUUUUGGAUAAGCAGAUCUUUUUUCUUCUGAUAAGCAGCUCUCCUCUAGGCAUUUUUAUGCUCUCUCUUGCGAUCUUCUUCACUUUUUGCCUAGUUUCUAUGGUGUCAUUCAAGACAGCUACUGGUGUCAUUCAGGACAUUCCCAAAAGACAGAGAAAAAAACAGAACCUGACAUCAAAUGAUUAUGGAAUACGUACAAUAUGAUUACCUUGUAGAUCUAUGUCAUGAAUAACACCGGAUGUGACCGUAGUUGAAGGAGGAAAUGUUGCAUCAUUAUGCGAGAAUGAUGUAUAGCUGGAGCUAGUUGGGUUGUCUGGUUAAACAAUGUUGUGAAAACAUAUUUAGAACUUAAUGGUUCAAACACGGGUAUGAUGCUUGCCUUGUAUUCGUCUACAUAUGUCCCGCCCAUAUGGCCUACAACACAUUAUGUAUACACCAUGUCACUGUCAGAAAUGCACGACUCGCAUGUGUAGGAAUUUUUGAUAGCGUGAAAUAUACCUGUAGGUAAGUCCUCCUCUGGUUGAUGUUCACUUGCCUUGCUUUUUGAAUUCCCCAUACGUACCUAUGUAAUGGCAGCUCCCUGACACGAAAAGACCAUUGCUUGAUGUAUGUAGCAAAAUAACGCAUUGCCUUUUUUCUUGCUUUUCAGAAGACAAGGAACAGGACACAGUUAUUUUCUGGAUUUCCAGAAGACAAGGACCAGGACCACAGCAAACAUCCUGUACUGUGCUUGCCAUGUUAAAAUUUCUUCUAGUCUUUUUUAUUAGAUUGACUACGUAUUUGGUACUGCCCAUUUGAUUUCAAGAGAAGUCCUAUUGUACAGGAAUUUGAAGAAAAAAGUACUGAUGCAACCAUGGAAGGGGUGGAAGGUAAAGCCAUUCUGAGGGAUAUAUGAACAGCGAAGAACUUAUUAACCAUUUUUUAUAAAACUUGAUGAUGAAUUGGUUACUAUAGUCCCAAAAUAAUUACCAUAUGUGAAGAAUAUUUGAAAGAGGGGGGGUUAUAUUUUCUUUGGAAGUGAGCUUAUUUGGAAGUAUCUUUAAGAAUUUGGUGGCAACAUAUGUUUAAUAAAUUCUUUUUGUGUGUGGCCAUGGUGUUUUCUUGCAUCACACUGUGUAAGCAUGUCUUUAUCUACUGAUUCUGGAUAUACCAUGAUGAAUAGUUUCUAAUUUCUUUCAAAAGUUGCUUUCAGAUUAACUGUGGUCAUUUGGCGUAAAAUAUUUGACGAUGGUUUUUUCUCCCAAACUGGCAAGGUAUUUUACUACCUAUAUUAAUUACUAGAAGGUGUGAUUUUGCUGUACAUAUUUAACCAAUAGUUUGUAGGUUCUACUUGGUACUGAUUGCCAUACCUACACUGUUGGAUCCUUUGCCCAACUUGCAACUGGAAACGUGAAACAGUGAUGCAGAUUUUGUGAUAGAUCUGGAAAGGCCUUUCGGAAGGUGUGCAAACAUGUAUCAUUGUUUCAUUGGAAAUGGUAUAACAAUGGAAAUAAUAUGUACGAACCAAUCUUUGCAACGAACAAUAGUGCAUAUAUUGAGUGUUGUGUCAUAUUAGCACCCUUUCCAUUCUGGUGCGAUAAAUAUAGGUUCUUAGCAUGUUUUUACUUUCUGUCAUGGACAUCUGUCUCUUUGUCAUAACGUAGUGAUAUGUCUUCAACGUAUCUAUAAUUUUUUAUUGUUCCAUGCUAUUAUAUUAUCCAUCUAGGAUGUUUUAUAUGCAUUUAUAUGCUAUUUUAUAUGAUUUUUGGGACUAACCUAUUAACCUAGAGCCCAGUGCCAGUUUCUGUUUUUUUCUUGUUUUUGAGUUUUGUAGAAAAGGAAUACCAAAUGGAGUCCAAUUGAUGUGCUAAUUUUUGAUGAUUUUUUAUGGACCAAAAGAAGCCCCCGGAGUAAAAGAGUUGGGCCAGAAGAGUCUCGGGCCAUCCACGAGGGUGGGGGACGCACCUACCCCCUGGGCGCGCCCCCCUAUUUUGUGGACGACUCGGAGACCCCCCUGACGUGAGACCUACGCCAAAAAUUCCUAUAAAUACAUAAACCCCCGGAACAUAACCUAGAUCGGGAGUUCCGCCGCCGCAAGGCUCUGUAGCCACCAAAAACCAAUUGGGACCCUGUUCCGGCACCCUGCCGGAGGGGGGAAUCCCUCGCCGGUGGCCAUCUUCAUCAUCCUGGCGCUCUCCAUGAUGAGGAGGGAGUAGUUCACCCUCGGGGCUGAGGGUAUGUACCAGUAGCUAUGUGUUUGAUCUCUCUCUUUCGUGUUCUUGAUUCGGCACGAUUUUGAUGUAUCGCGAGCUUUGCUAUUAUAGUUGGAUCUUAUGAUGUUUCUCGCCCUCUACUCUCUUGUAAUGGAUUGAGUUUUCCCUUUGAAGUUAUCUUAUCGGAUUAAGUCUUUAAGGAUUUGAGAAUACUUGAUGUAUGUCUUGCAUGUGCUUAUCUAUGGUGACAAUGGGAUAUUCACGUGAUCCACUUGAUGUAUGUUUUGGUGAUCAACUUGCGGGUUCCGUAACAUUGUGAACUUAUGCAUAGGGAUUGGCACACGUUUUCGUCUUGACUCUUCGGUAGAAACUUUGGGGCACUCUUUGAAGUUUUUUGUGUUGGUUGAAUAGAUGGAUCUGAGAUUGUGUGAUGCAUAUCGUAUAAUCAUACCCACGGAUACUUGAGGUGACAUUGGAGUAUCUAGGUGACAUUAGGGUUUUAGUUGAUAUGUGUCUUAAGGUGUUAUUCUAGUACGAACUCUAGGAUAGAUCGAACGGAAAGAAUAGCUUCGUGUUAUUUUACUACGGACUCUUGAAUAGAUCGAUCAGAAAGGAUAACUUUGAGGUGGUUUCGUACCCUACAAUAAUCUCUUCGUUUGUUCUCCGCUAUUAGUGACUUUGGAGUGACUCUUUGUUGCAUGUUGAGGGAUAGUUAUAUGAUCCAAUUAUGUUAUUAUUGUUGAGAGAACUUGCACUAGUGAAAGUAUGAACCCUAGGCCUUGUUUCAACGCAUUGCAAUAUCGUUUGUGCUCACUUUUAUCAUGAGUUACCUCGCUGUUUUUAUAUUUUUCAGAUUACAAAAACCUAUAUCUAUCAUCCAUAUUGCACUUGUAUCACCUUCUCUUCGCCGAACUAGUGUACCUAUACAAUUUACCAUUGUAUUCGGUGUGUUGGGGACACAAGAGACUCUUUGUUAUUUGGUUGCAGGGUUGUUUGAGAGAGACCAUCUUGAUCCUACGCCUCCCACGGAUUGAUAAACCUUAGGUCAUCCAUUUGAGGGAUACUGUCCUACAAACCUCUGCACUUGAAGGCCCAACAACGUCUACAAGAAGAAGGUUGUGUAGUAGACAUCACGUGGAUACAGAGUGAUGCCUAUGGGAAGAAGUGGUGCUUUGAUAUUUUAAUUAUUAUUUUUCAGGAGCCCCCAACUAUCAGGUACUAAAUAGAGAUAAGUUCAGAAUAUUUGAACAUGCGAUAGCUUUAUGAUAUGUGUAUAAACUGUGUAUAAACUUCAAAUAAUACCUAUAUCUGCAAUGAUCUCGUCGGCGUCUCCUCAACGGGGAUCAGCGCCGGCUCAGGGUAUAGGCGUGUGGCUCCUGAAGGGGAUCGUCGUCGGAUCCUGGACGUGAUCGUGGCGGGUCCUCAAAGGGAUCAGCGCCAGAUCUGGGGAUCGGCGUGCGGCUCCUGAAGGGGAUCAUCGCCGGAUCCUGAACGUGAUCGGCGACGGGUCCUAAACGGGAUCGGCGGCGUCUCCUCAAACGGAUCGUCCGAUGGAGGGCGGCGGCUUUGAUGUGCAAGGUCGGCGGCGAAGGGAUGGAGUGGCGGCGGCGAAGGAGGGUAGAGAGUCGUGCAAAGGAGGGCAGGGAGUCGUGCGUGCGAGUGGUUUUCGCUCGAGGGCAGGAGGCCUCGCUCAUACGUGUCUGCGAUUGGUUUAGUUUUUUUUUCGCUGGUUAAUUUUUGUAGGUUUUUUUUCGUCGGUUUUUUUCCUCCGCUUUUCUUGGGUGCGACGGGAGGUUAGCCUGUGGACUGCGUGGGGGCAUCCGGCAUCGCUACGAGGUUUUUUUGGUUCGACGCGGCUCACUGUGAGGUGGGAGGAGGGACGGAAAAAACCAGGGGAAGGUGGGACGAAAAAUAACCGUGGAACAGAGACUACCAACUGAGACAUUAGGAGUAGAUAUUUGGUGGCCUACUCUCUUCAAGGAUGCCCGUUAGUUUGGAGUCCCGUGUGAUGAAUGUCAAAGAAUUGGUAAUAUUAGUAGACGUCAAGAAAUGCCUAUGAAUUAUUCACUUGUUAUCGAACCAUUUGAUGUUUGGGGCUUUGAUUAUAUGGGACCUUUUCCUGCCUCUAAUGGAUACACACAUAUUUUAAUUGUUGUUGAUUACGUUACUAAGUGGGUAGAAGCUAUUCCAACUAGUAGUGUUGAUCAUAACACCUCUAUUAAGAUGCUUAAAAAGUUAUUUUUCCGAGGUUUGGAGUCCCUAGAUAUUUAAUGACUGCAUGGUGGUUCAUAUUUUAUUCAUGGUGCUUUCCGUAAAAUGCUUGCUAAGUAUGAUGUUAAUCAUAGAAUUGCAUCUCCUUAUCACCCACGGUCUAGUGGUCAAGUAGAAUUGAGUAAUAGAGAACUCAAAUUGAUUUUGCAAAAGACUGUUAAUAGAUCUAGGAAGAAUUGGUCCAAGAAACUUGAUGAUGCAUUAUGGGCCUAUAGAACUGCAUAUAAAAAUCCUAUGGGUAUGUCUCCGUAUAAAAUGGUUUAUAGAAAAGCAUGUCACUUACCUCUCGAACUAGAACAUAAGGCUUAUUGGGCUAUUAAAGAGCUCAAUUAUGAUUUCAAACUUGCCGGUGAGAAGAGGUUAUUCGACAUUAGCUCACUUGAUGAAUGGAGAACCCAAGCCUAUGAGAAUGCCAAGUUGUUUAAAGAAAAAGUUAAAAGAUGGCAUGACAAAAGGAUACAAAAGCGUGAGUUUAAUGUAGGUGAUUAUGUAUUGCUAUACAACUCUCGUUUAAGAUUUUUUGCAGGAAAAAUUCUCUCUAAAUGGGAAGGUCCUUACGUUAUCCAGGAGGUCUAUCGUUCCAGUGCCAUAAAAAUCAACAACUUCGAAGGCACAAAUCCGAAGGUGGUGAACGGACAAAGAAUCAAACAUUAUAUCUCAGGUAAUCCUAUAAAUGUUGAAACCAAUGUUAUUGAAACCGUAACCCCGGAGGAAUACAUAAGGGACACUUUCCAGAACGUUUCAGACUCCAAAAAGGAAGAGGUAUGUGGUAUGGUAAGUAAACCGACUCCAAAACAGUUCUAAUGGCAAUUUUUCUCCGUUUUGGAAUAUUUAGAAAAAUUGAAAAAUAAGAAGUAGUCCGGGAAGGACACGAGGGUGGAGGGCGCGCCCCCCUGCCUCGUGGGCACCUCGUGCGCUUUCCGGACUCCAUUUUCUUGCACAAUACGUAUUUUGGUCGGUAAAAAUUCAUUAUAUAAUCUUCCGAAGGUUUUGACUCCUGUAUCACCCAAUUAUCCUCUGUUCUUGUUUCGAGCUGUUUUCUGUCAGGGUUGUCAAGGCCAGGAAUCAUGUCGUCCCCCUCCUCCAACAAUGGUGACAAAGAUGCUUGGCUAAUGAAGAUAGAUCUGAGGAGGGAAGAACCCGUGGAAAUCAACAAGGAUGAAGGGAUCAAGAAGGCCACAAAGGACCAAGCUCCGGUAGCCGAAGACACCCUUCAACUUGAUCACAAUCUUCUCACCCCAACUGAGAUCGAAGCUUUCAAGAUGAUUGAGUUAGCUCGUAUACAAAACAAGUAUCUCACACGUGAAAAUAUUUUGUUGAAGGAGCAUAUCGUCGCACUCAAGGGCAUCAUCCGGAAGUUGGAGGAUCUCUUACGCUCGAUGUGCGAUUACCCGUCAUCAACAACUCCACCACCUUCCUCACCAACAAAGGAGAUAUAAUCACAUGGGUAUGGGCACUCCCCUUGGCAACUGCCAAGCUUGGGGGAGGUGCCCCGGUAUCGUAUCACCACCACAUCUCUAUCUUUACCGUUUUUCUUAGUCCGAUCCUUUUAGUAGUAUUUUGAUCUAGUAGAAUAAGGUUUUAGUAUGAUCUAGUUUUGAGUUUUGCUUUAUGAUCCCUCUAUGUAAUCGAGUCCGUGAGCUAUAUAAUAAAGAUUAAUGUUGAGUCAAGGGCUUGAUUAUUUUGCUAAGAUCUUAAGGGAAUAAAAGAAAAGAGAAAAAGAAUAAAAAGAAACAAAGAGAUCAUAUUGAUCUUAUGGAGAGUAAUGACUUCACAUAGAAAGAGUAUGAUGAUUAAAAUUAUUGAGAGUUGACAAACAUAGCUUUGGUCAUCGUUGCAAUUAAUAGGAAGUAAUAAAGAAAGAGAUGUUUCACAUAUAAAUAUACUAUCUUGGACAUCUUUUAUGAUUGGGAGCACUCAUUAAAAUAUGACAUGCUAAAGAGUUGAUGUUGGACAAGGAAGACAACGUAAUGGGUUAUGUUUUCUUAUAUCUGAAAUAAAGUAUAUUGUCAUGGAUCAUCCAACAUGUUGAGCUUGCUUUCCCCCCCUCAUGCUAGCCAAAUUCUUUGCACCAAGUAGAGAUACUACUUGUGCUUCCAAAUACCCUUAAACCUAGUUUUACCAUGAGAGUCCACCAUAUCUACCUAUGGAUUGAGUAAGAUCCAUCAAGUAGGUUGUCAUCGGUGCAAGCAAUAAAAAUUGCUCUCUAAAUAUGUAUGAUUGAUUGGUGUGGAGGAAAUAAGCUUUAUACGAUCUUGUGAUGUGGAAGAAAUAAAAGCGACGGACUACAUAAUAAAGGUCUAUAUCACAAGUGGCAAUAUAAAGUGACGUUCUUUCGCAUUAAAAUUUUGUGCAUCCAACCCUGAAAGCGCAUGGCAACCUCUGCUUCCCUCUGCGAAGGGCCUAUCUUUUAUUAUUAUCUUCUACCUUAUGCAAGAGUCAUGGUGAUCUUCACCUUUCCUUUUUACAUUUUAUCCUUUGGCAAGCACAGGAUGUUGGAAAGAUCCUGAUAUAUAUCUAAUUGGAUGUGGGUUAGCAUGAACUGUUAUUGUUGACAUUACCCUUGAGGUAAAAGGUUGGGAGGCGAAACUAUAAGCCCCUAUCUUUCUCUGUGUCCGGUUAAAACUCCAUAGCCACAAGUAUUGCGUGAGUGGUAGCAAUUGUGAAAGAUUAAAUGAUAGUUGAGUAUGUGGACUUGCUAAAAAGCUCUGACAUAGACUCUUUCUGAUGUUAUGAUAAAUUGCAAUUGCUUCAAUGACUGAGAUUAUAGUUUGUUAGUUCUCAAUAAAGUUUCUGAUUCAUACUUUGCAUUGUGAAUAGAUUAUUACUUGAGCAUAAGAAAUCAUAUGACAUUAUCCAUAUAUGUUGCUGUUAUGAGAAUAAUCAUGAUGCCCUCAUGUCCGUAUUUUAUUUUAUCGAUACCUCUACCUCUAAACCAUUGGACAUAUUUAUCGUUAUCGGCUUCCGCUUGAGGACAAGCGAGGUCUAAGCUUGGGGGAGUUGAUACGUCCAUUUUGCAUCAUGCUUUUAUAUCGAUAUUUAUUGCAUUAUGGGCUGUUAUUACACAUUAUUUCACAAUACUUAUACGUAUUCUCUCUUAUUUUACAAGGUUUACAUAAGGAGGGAGAAUGCCGGCAGCUGGAAUUCUGGGCUGGAAAAGGAGCAAAUAUUAGAGACCUAUUCUGCACAACUCCAAAAGUCCUGAAACUCCACGAAAGUUACUUUUGGAAAUAAUAAAAAAUACUGAGCGGAAGAAAUACCAUAGGGGGCCCACACCCUGGCCACGAGGGUGGGGGCGCGCCCUACCCCCUGGGCGCGCCCCCUGCCUCGUGGGCCCCCUGUUGGCCCUUCGAUGCCCAUCUUCUGCUAUAUGAAGUCUUUCGUCCGAUAAAAAAUCAGAAGCAAGCUUUCGGGACGAGACUCCGCCGCCAAGAGGCAGAACCUUGGCGGAACCAAUCUAGGGCUCUGGCAGAGCUGUUCUGUCGGGGACACUUCCCUCCGGGAGGGGGAAAUCAUAACCAUCGUCAUCACCAACGCUCCUCUCACCGGGAGAGGGCAAUCUCCAUCAACAUCUUCACCAGCACCAUCUCCUCUCAAACCCCAGUUCAUCUCUUGUAUCCAAUUCUUGUCUCUAAGUCUGGGAUUGGUACAUGUGGGUUGCUAAUAGUGUUGAUUACUCCUUGUAGUUGAUGCUAGUUGGUUUAUUUGGUGGAAGAUCAUAUGUUCAGAUCCUAUAUGCAUAUUAAUAGCCCUCUGAUUAUGAACUUGAAUAUGCUUUGUGAGUAGUUAUGUUUUUUCCUGAGGACAUGGGAGAAGUCUUGCUAUUAGUAGUCAUGUGAAUUUGACAUUCGUUCGAUAUUUUGAUGAGAUGUAUGUUGUCUCUCCUCUAGUGGUGUUAGGUGAACGUCGACUACAUCACACUUCACCAUUGUUUGGGCCUAGAGGAAGGCAUUGGGAAGUAAUAAGUAGAUGAUGGGUUGCUAGAGUGACAGAAGCUUAAACCCUAGUUUAUGUGUUGCUUCGUAAGGGGCUGAUUUGGAUCCAUAUGGUUCAUGCUAUGGUUAGGUUUACCUUAAUAUUUCUUUUGUAGUUGCGGAUGCUUGCAAUAGGGGUUAAUCAUAAGUGGGAUGCUUGUCCAAGUAAGGACAGCACCCAAGCACCGGUCCACCCACAUAUCAAAUUAUCAAAGUACCGAACGCGAAUCAUAUGAACGUGAUGAAAACUAGCUUGACGAUAAUUCCCAUGUGUCCUCGGGAGCGCUUUUCUUUAUAUAAGAGUUUGUCCAGGAUUGUCCUUUGCUACAAAAAGGAUUGGGCCACCUUGCUGUGCUUUAUUUACUUUUGCUACUUGUUGCUCGUUACAAAUUAUCUUAUCACAAAACUAUCUGUUACCUUAAUUUUAGUGCUUGCAGAGAAUACCUUGCUGAAAACCGCUUAUCAUUUCCUUCUGCUCCUCGUUGGGUUCGACACUCUUACUUAUCGAAAGGACUAUGAUAGAUCCCCUAUACUUGUGGGUCAUCAUGCUUGCAUUGCCGGAAAGCUUCAUGAAAAAGCUCAUAAAGUGAAGACUAUCAUCACCACCUUGAGGCCCCUUGAGCUUAUCCAUUUGGAUCUUUUUGGGCCUCCAACUUAUGAUAGUUUGGGAGGGAGGAGGUAUUGCCUUGUCAUUGUUGAUGACUUCACAAGAUAUACUUAGGUGUUCUUUCUCAAGACCAAAGAUGAAACUCAAGAAACCUUCAUCAACUUUGCCAAAGAAGCUCAACGUCAACAUAAUUGUGAGAUCAAGUCAAUUCGAAGUGACAAUGGCACCGAGUUCAAGAACUACAUGAUGGAUGAAUUCUUGAGUGAAGAGGGGAUAAAGCAUAAAUAUGCCGCACCAUAUACUCCCCAACAAAAUGGUGUUGCGGAGAGGAAGAAUUAGACUCUUAUUGAGAUGGCUAGGACUAUGUUUGACGAGUACAAGUCUCCAUACAAGCUUUGGGCCGAAGCCAUCAACACCACGUGUCAUGCUUCAAACCGGCUUUAUCUUCGCAAGCUCAAGAACAAGAUCCCAUAUGAGCUCCUAAUCGGGAGAAACCCUAACGUCAAAUACUUUCGGGUAUUCGGUUGUAAGUGUUUCAUUUUAAACAAGAAAUCCCGGUUAGCUAAGUUUGAGUCUAGAACUUAUGAGGGCAUAUUUGUUGGAAUGCAUCAAACUCUCAUGCUUACCGAGUUCUCAAUAAAUCCACUGGAUGCAUUGAGGAAACGGUAAAUGUGAAGUUUGAUGAAGAUAACGGCUCCCGUGUGGAGCAAAUUGUUCCUAGUGUUGUAGGUGAUGAGGCUCCUUCACAAGCUAUAAGGACGAUGGGGAUAGGCCACAUUCUUCCACAAGAAACACCCCAAGUCCAAGUAGAAGAAGAAGGAGUAAUAGCCCCUCUUGUGGAGUCUCCACAAGGGAAGUCAUCACCGGCACCUCUUGAACAAGAUGCUACGGGAGAUCAUGUACCUAUCCAAGAACAAGAUCAAGUCCCUCAUAUUCCCAAGCAAGAUCAAGAGAAAGAUCAUUCAAAUGGUGAAUAACCAAUUACUGAGGCUCAAGAUCAAGAUCAACCCCAACCGCAAGUGUCUUCAUCAUCAUCACUUUCCAAUGAGCAAGAACUUGUGGUUGCGAAGAGAAGGGUGUCACCGAGGCCAAAACAAUCUCAAGGUCAAGCUUCUUCAUCAAGUCCAAAACCAAGUGAAGAAGAGCUUGCAAUUAUGGAGCAAAAAGUGGCUGCCAAGCUAAAGCAUCUUCAACAUCUCACCGAGAACAUCUAUGGAAGCAUGAAAGGGGGUAACUACUCAUAGACGUUUGGCAAACUUUUGUGAACAUCACUCUUUUGUCUCUUGUAUUGAGUCCCUUAAGGUGGAAGAUGCACUUGACGAUCCGGUUUGGAUAGAUGACAUGCAUGAACUCAACUACUUUACCCGCACCAAAGUGUGGACCCUUGUGGAAAGACCCAAAGAGCAUCAUAAUGUCAUUGGAACAAAGUGGAUCUUCAAGAACAAGCAAGAUGAACAUGGACAAGUAAUAAGGAACAAGGCAAGGUUAGUGGCACAAGGUUUCACCCAAGUUGAAGGUUUGGACUUUGGUGUAACUUUUGCCCCCGUUGCCCGUCUCGAAUCCAUUCGCAUCUUGCUUGCUUAUGCCUCUCAUCAUGAUUUUAAAUUAUAUCAAAUGGAUGUGAAUAGUGAAUUUCUUAAUGGUCCUCUUAAGGAGUUGGUGUAUGUCAAGCAACCUCCCAGUUUCGAAGACCCCGAUCACCCCUUUCACGUUUAUGAACUCCAUAAGGCACUCUAUGGACUCAAACAAGCACCUCGUGCUUGGUAUGAUCACCUUAUGGCGUUCCUAAGCGAGAAAGGGUUCCAGAUUGGGGCAAUAGAUUCCACUCUCUUCACAAAGAGGGUAAAAGGAGAGUUGUUUGUUUGUCAAAUUUAUGUUGAUGAUAUUAUCAUUGGGUCCACUAACCAUGCUAUUAACGUUGAGUUUGAGAAUCUUAUGAUUAAUGAAUUUGCUAUGAGCAUGAUGGGAGAGUUAAAGUUCUUCCUCGGUUUUCAAGUGAAGCAAUUGAGAGGAGGAACCUUCAUCAACCAAUCUCGCUAUAUUCAAGACAUGCUCAAGAGAUUCAAAAUGCAAGAUGUCAAGCCAAUGAAGACAUCCAUGCCCACAAAUGGUCAACUUCAUCUUGAUCGCAAUGGUAAAGAAGUGGAUCACAAGGUAUAUCGCUCCAUGAUCGGUUCCUUGCUUUACCUUUGUGCAUCUAGACCGGAUAUUAUGUUGAGUGUGUGUAUGUGUGCAAGAUUUCAAUCCGCUCCUAAGGAGAGCCACUAUUCGGCAGUGAAAAGAAUCCUUCGAUAUUUGGUUCAUACCCCAAACUUGGGCCUUUGGUAUCCCAAAGGAUCAUUGUUUGAGUUAAUGGGAUGCUCUGAUUCGAUUGGGCCGGAGACAAGGUUGACCGCAAGUACACUUCUGGUUCAUGUCAAUUUCUAGGGAGAUCGUUCGUAAGUUGGUCUUCAAAUAAGAAAAAUUGUAUAUCUCUCUCUACGGCCGAAGCCGAGUACAUUGCCGCCGGAAGUUAUUGUGCUCAGUUAUUAUGGAUGAGGCAAACUUUGAUGGAUUAUGGUGUCAAAUGUGACAAAGUGCCUCUUUGGUGCGACAAUGAAAGUGCAAUCAAGAUCGCCGAGAAUCCGGUCCAACACAGCAAGACCAAGCAUAUUGAGAUUCGUCAUCACUUCAUUAGGGAUCAUGUGGCCAAGGGGAACAUUGAAUUACUCCAUGUCAACACUGAGAAUCAACUAGCCGAUAUCUUCACCCAAGCCACUUGAAGAAGCAAGAUUCCGUGAGUUAAGGCAUGAGCUAAAUAUCGUGGAUAUAAGUAACUUGUGUUGAAACUCUUGCUCAUGCACACAUACUCACACUAGUACGCAUCGGUCCUAUACAAACGAUUUUUAACCCCUUUCUGCGACGGUAUUUGGAACCGUUGCCUAGUGAGUGUGGGCGAUAGGGGGGGGGGGGUCCUUCCCACAUGACCCAGAAACCGUCGGGGAUAUGCCCUCCCGGCACACACACACUCGACAAAAUGAGGUCGCGUGCGGGAAUACGUACAGUAGAGCUAAAAAUACAAUUAUACGGCGAAAUUGUUUCCGAUCGCAAGUACAUCCCACACAGUCAGUCCCCGCUAAACGUUUCGUUCGUAUGUACAUCCCACAUAGUCGCUCCAAGGAAAACGUUUCCGUUCAUAGGUAAAUCACACACAAUUUUUCCCGUUAAAUCGUUUGCGUUAUUGAAUGUAUCACACACGGUCCAUAGAAGAAACUAUGUGGGAAAGGCUGUCCAUCACACAUAGUUUUUAUGUGGUAAACGUUUGCGCAAGGUGGCCUAACGCAAACAUUUUUCAAGAUAAAGUCGUGUGUGAUUGUUCAUUGAUCCAACACGGUUUAUUCCUAGAAAAUGUGUGCGUUGCUUGAGGUCAUCGCCCACGAUAUUUUUUUAACAACCGUUUGCGAUAGCAAAACCCAAUUAGCAGGCUAAUUGCCCUAUUAUUAAUAAUCCAUUUAUUAAUCUAACUGACAUUCAUAUUAAGCACAUAAUAUAUUUCAUUUCCAUAUUAAGGAAGCAGAAUUUCAUAAUUGAAAUACAUCAAAGUACAACAUGAUAUAGCUUCAACACUCAGCUACCCCGUUACACAACUGCACCACCACCAAGUUUCACAUGCAACAUGUAGAACCUUUCGAAAUUAGCAUCAUAGAUGGUAUAUAGACAGAUGCAUCUCAUCUGGAAAACUGCUGAAGCGGAAGGCGAAUAUUGAGCCUUCAUUCAUGUUGAAGGUCUUUGCAACUUUAGGCCAGUGCCUGUGGAUGAUUGACCGUCCGUCUUUCGUCCUCUUCAGGAACACUUCAAUAUUGAACCGUGGCUAUUGUAUGAAAACCUUCCUCGCCUCCUGACCAUAGAGGUGGUUUGAGAGGUAAUCAUCAGUGAACUGCUUUGGAAAGGCCUGAAAACAAGGAUGUGCAUAAAUAUCUUCUCUAUAUUGGAAAUGGGGCAAAGGAAUAAAAAAAGGCAAGGUAUAACAGUUAGUACCAUCUUGUAGUGAACUGAUGUCUUCUUCAUUGUGCAGACAAAGAUCUUGUUGUUUUUGUCACUAAUUUCUUUGUCCUAACAACCUUCCCGAGCUUCUUGAUUUGAUUGAUAUUCAUGGACAACUCAUUUCCCCAUAUGCAAAAAGGGUCGAACAGUGGGUCAAAACCUCUAACAGCAGGACGUACAUGUGCAAGACCAAAUUGUUAAAAACCAAAAUAUUAGAAUGGUUCCCGCAAUUGCACAAUAAUGUGCUAUUAGACAACGGACCAUGCACGUGCUAACGUUGAUUGUAAACCUCAGUGCUUCCCAUUGUUUCCCUGCAACACAUAUAAGGUAGUUAGUCAUCAGGUUAAGUAAGGGUUCGCUUGCUAUCAGUAAAAUAUGUUGAUGAAAAAUAAGCAUAUUUCAGAUUCAUCAGAUUAAUUCAAGCCACAUGGAAAACCCAUUUAUCCAAACCAAGCAUGAUUAAUAACUAGGAAAUAUAGCACUUGUAUAUGUUUCUCAUGUAUUAAGUGCAGCCAAAUUCGAUUUAUUCCUCACAUGCACAACAAUACAAAAUUCUACCCACGACAAUUGGACAUCGCAUUGCAGAAUUGAACCAAGCAGUUAACUAAACACCACAACAAAUGAACCAACAUUAACUGAGCACCACAUUGCACAAUAUAACAUACUCCUAAUAUAAGAUUAGACAGUUAACCAAACAGUUAACUACAGCCAAUUGUAGCAAUUGUAUUUGUUUUUCAUUUAUUUACUACAGCCAAAUUCAAUUUAUUCCUCACAUGGUAUACAAUAACAGAAUGCACCCACAACUAUUGAAUAGCGCAUGGCAGAUUGAACAAAACAGUUAACUAAACACCACAACACAAAUGAACCAAACGUUAACUGAGCACCACAUUGCACAAUGUAUAACCAAACCAAGCAUGCUUGACAACUUGGAAAUAUAGCAAUUGUAUUCGUUUCUCAUGUAUUUUGUAAAGAUAAAUUCACUUUAUUUCUCACAUGGAAGAGAAUACAAAAUUGCAUCCUGAAGAAUUGAACAUUACAUUUGCAGAAUUGAACCAAACAGUUAACUGAAGAUGACAACUGAUUAACAGAAUAGUUAAUAAGUGAGCACCACACUGCACGACAUAUAGAACAUAUACACUAGAGCAAUAGAUUGCAUGGUAAAAUUAGAUAGCACAAUUCACUAGAAUUUGUGAAGGAAAGGCAGGAGCAGCACACGCAACGGGUAAACCGAGCAUGCUUAACCGGCGUAGCUAGCAAAUGGCAAGGUGCUCCUCCAAGAUCUGGGGGUCAGCACGAAUGGCAGCAAUCGUGACCUCAUCCGCGCGUCCGGUCGCGAUUUGCUUGUCCGCUGCCAAAUGCUCCUUGAGAUCCUGGCUAUACUGCGUGCACCAUGGCUUAGGGCCGCACUUAUUUGGUGGAGGGGUCGGUGAUUUGGGUGGAAGGUGUCGCGCUCGCGCCGGCGGUCGAGGCAUGUGGGAUGUGGAAGGAUGGGGGUCGGGUGUGGAUUACCUGCCUGGAUAGACGAGGCCGAGCAGCGUGAAGGAGGGUCGCCGACGAGGAGGCGGCGGCGCUGCAAGCAAGGAGUGAAGGUUUCAACUUGGAAAGGAAGGCGGAAACAGGGAAAAUGUGGCUUUUGGUAAGGGGGAGGGGGCGGGGAGGUAGAUAUUUCCGCGGAAGCCGAAAAUUUGGAAUCGCUUCAGCGAAAAAACUGGCACGCGAAGUGUUAUCAGACACGGUCCCUUAUUCAGAACUGUGUACGAUAUGUGAACAUCACAAACGAUUCAAAUAGCUUAACCCGUGUGUGAUGAGUUUGAACGUCAAAAAUUUUGGUUCGAAUUUCCAUGGUUAUAGUGUUCAUCCACGUCAUUGCAUAAUUUGGGUACACAAAGGAGACUACAGCACACCCACACUUCUUAAUCGAGCAAGUUCGGCAAUUAAACAGAGCUAGCUGACCUAAAAAUUACUCUAACAAAUUAAUGACCGUCGCUCUUAAUUAAACAAAACAAAUAGUACUACUACGGCUGGUUCUCGUCGAUCUCCGCCGCCGCCUCCAUGUCCAGCUCGCGCCCGACGGUCUCCUGGGGAAGGGGCUCCAUGGCACCCAUCGCACCAUACUUGGCAAGCAUCUCGCCAUCCGCAUCUGCCAUCUCUUUGGAAAAGGCCGCCACGAGCUGGGCCUGGGCGGACGCGAUCUGGGCUUGUACGGGCUCCGUCGUCACAAGGUAUGCGGCGGAGGAACGGAAGGCUGCUCGAACGCUCUCGGCGAUUGCCGGCUCUUCGGCCGUGGGUUGCCGAGCGUUGUCGGAGAAGCUUCGUUCGAUUUGUGCGGUGAUCGCCAGGAGCUAGGAGUGGGUGGCCUCGACAUGGUCGUGGGCGGCCUCCAUCAGGGCUAAGGCCGCCGCUGCGGAACGGACAGCUGUUGUGCCGCUCUCGCCAGUUGUUAUCCCUGAGCCAGAUGUUGUUGCCGCCACCUGAGAGGCAAUAGCGGCCGUUUGGGCUGCCAUGGCUGCCCGGUCGCAGAAUGCGGCCGCGCUCAUGCACCUUGUUAGCAAGCGCAUGGCGUCUGCGGCCGCGCUCUCGUUGGAGUGGGCCACCAAAGUUGCCCUGACGACGCGGGUCCACGUGCCCAUCUUUCACCGACGACGAUUGAACAGUGAAAUGAUAUUUGGGGAGCGAGCUAGUGUGCUUGAAGACGCCUGCUGUGGACUGUAGCCGGCGCACCUUCUCGCGUAAGCCAUAGGCGUACUAUACACCGACGGUGCUCCAGGAUAUUUUGUGCUGCAUCUCACACGGUUGGUGAUAAUAAACUGUGUGUGAUCUACUUGAUUUUUCAUCUUGAUUUGAAUUACAUAAUGGGGUCACAGCGGCAAUGGACGGUGUUUGAAUUGCUAGACCUUUUAUCUGGAGUGAACAUGCAACUAUAUGUGUGUCGUAAAAGAAUUGGAGUUAUUCAGGGUUCGUUUGAACAUUUUAUACAUUAAAUUGGGUUUCUAGCCAUUUCAGGUGCACAAUUCAAAAUUAAACUACAUGCACAUGCUCCGGUGCACCAACAUGGGUUGUAAAAUCAUAUAUGUGUCCAUGGGUUUAUGCUUAUCUCCCAUGCAAGAAAUGGGGAUGAAAUUCGAACGCCAUAGCAUCGUGGCUCUCCGGCAAACGUCGACGUACUUGCUUUUGUAAUUCUAGUAAAUCCAAAAUUCAUGAAACUUGGCAUGCUAUCAUGGAGCGGCAUCAACAUGCCGUGGUAAAUUUUUUGUCCCAUUUGGGGCAGGUUUGGGUAUAAGCUUCUCAUAAACCAGAGCUUCUCACAACAAGUGUGAUGGUUUCGGUAGGGAACGUUUCACCUUUCUGGACGAAACAAUAUUCGUUGCCUCUUCUCGAUUUCAAAUUUUUUCCUAGUGUCAACAUAGAACAACAGGAGUGUUGUGUCAAUUUUUGGGAUUUUUCGGGGUUCGCUGUAACGCCCAUGAUGCGGCUAUAUCUCCCACGUGUCGAGGCACAACCGCAUUGUGGUAUUGUCGCAAGAAGGGUUAUCUUCACACAAUCCCAUGUAAUGAACAAGAAUGGGAUAACGAGAGUUGGCUUACAAUCGCCACUUCACACAAUACAUAAAUUAAUUCAUACAUCAUCCAAAAUCCACACAUAGGCCGAGUACGGUCAAAUCCAAAUGAAAAUAAGAUAACCCCAAAUGCUAGAACCCCGAUCGUCCCAACUGGGCUCCACUACUGAUCAUCAGGAAAAGAAACAUAGUAACGACCACGUUCCUCGUCGAACUCCCACUUGAGCUCGGUUGCAUCAUCUGCACUGGUAUCGUCGGCACCUGCAACUGUUUUAGUAGAAUCUGUGAGUCAAGAGGACUCAGCAAUCUCACACCCGCGAGAUCAAGACUAUUUGAGCUUAUAGGAAAGGAUGGUGUAAUGAGGUGGAGCUGCAGCAGGCACUAAGCAUAUAUGGUGGCUAACAUACGCAAAGAGAGCGAGAAGAGAAGCAACGCAACGGUCGCGAAGCUAGAAAUGAUCAAGAAGUGAUCCUGAAACUACUUACGUUCAUACAUAACUCAAACCGUGUUCACUUCCCGGACUCCGCCGAGAAGAGACCAUCACGGCUACACACACGGUUGAUGUAUUUUAAUUAAAUCAAGUGUCAAGUUCCCUACAACCGGACAUUAACAAAUUCCCAUCUGCCUCAUAACCGCGGGCACGGCUUUCGAAAGAUAAUACCCUGCAGGGGUGUCCCAACUUAGCCCAUUAUAAGCUCUCAUGGUCAACGAAGGAUAAACCUUCUCCCGGGAAGACCCGAUCAGUCUCGGAAUCCCAGUUUACAAGACAUUUCGACAAUGGUAAAACAAGACCAGCAAAGCCGCCCGAUGUGCCGACAAAUUCCGAUAGGAGCUGCACAUAUCUCGUUCUCAGGGCACAACGGAUGAGACAUCCUACGAGUAAAACCAGGCCUCAAGUUUCCCCGAGGUGGCCCCGCAGUCUACUCAGUUCGGACCAACACUCGAAGGAGCACUGGCCCCGGGGGGGUUAAAAUAAAGAUGACCCUCGGGCUCACGAAAACCCAAGGGAAAAGGCUUAGGUGGAAAAUGGUAAAACCAAGGUUGGGCCUUGCUGGAGGAGUUUUAUUCAAGGCGAACUGUCAAGGGGGUCCCAUAAAUCACCCAACCGCGUAAGGAAUGCAAACUCCAGGAACAUAAUACCGGUAUGAUGGAAACUAGGGCGGCAAGAGUGGAACAAAACACCAGGCAUAAGGCCGAGCCUUCCACCCUUUACCAAAUAUGUAGAUGCAUUAAUUAAAUAAGAGAUAUUGUGAUAUUCCAAAAUAUCCAUGUUCCAACAUGGAACCAACUUCAACUUCACCUGCAACUAGCAACGAUAUAAGAAGGGCUGAGCAAAAGCGGUAACUUAGCCAAAUAACGGUUUGCUAGGAAAGGAUGGUUAGAGGCUUGACAUGGCAAUAUGGGAGGCAUGAUAUAGCAAGUGGUAGGUAGCGUAGCAUAGCAGUAGAACGAAUAACUAGCAAAGCAAAGAUGGAAGUGAUUUCGAGGGUAUGGUCAUCUUGCCUGCAAGGUUCUCAGAGUUGUCGAAAGCUUGAUCCUCGUAAGCGUACUCAACAGGUUCCUCGUUCACGAACUCGUCUCCCGGCUCUAUCCACAGCAAGAACACAAGCAACGAACCACAAUCAAUCACGGGAAAUGCACAAGCAACAUGAUGCAAAACAUGCAUGAUAUGCGAGAUGUGGUAUGCGAUGCAUAUGUGUGCUCCGGAAGAAAAAGAAUGAAGAAGGUAGUAACUUGGCAAACCAAGUAUGCCACUGGAAAUAUGAGAUGAUUUCGGUCGAAAUCGAUAUAAAGAUCACCGGAAACGGAUACACGGUUUGCAAAUGGCAAGCAAAACAAGAAUGACACGAUUCUGCAAUUAACAGCAUGAUAGCACUUAGAAUACAUCAAGUAACUAUGCUAUAGCACCCCAACAUAGCAACAAAGCAUAUGGCAGUAAUCUAUAGGAGAUGCUUGACAAAAGAUGAACACUGAGCUAUGGCUAGAUCACAAAAUAACAGGUUCAAACAAGCAUGACAAAAGUGCAAAAGAUAUCAGGUUCACAGACGGUGAAAUUACUGGACAUGGCUGAAACAGCAUCAGGUAGCAAUGUUCAGAGCAAGAAAAACACAUGCUAAAAGAAUUUAACGUAGCAAAACAAGGCAUGGAAUAAAUCUACUAAAUUCAUAGAACAAAAGUCCCUUACUGACCAUAAGCCAAAAAGGAUCAUAACAUACGAUGGCAACCAUCUAAACAUAGCAAGUUUCGUUAACAGGUUUCAGACAGCAGAAAACAGAGCAUGACAGAAACAGUAUUAUGAAGGCAUCUUGGUGAGCUUGAUUCACUCACCACCAAGCAAUGCAUGACAAAAAAAGCAUACCUACGGCAAGAUGGAAUGUUUAUGAAGCUAACCAUGGCAAGAGCAAAUACAUAGCAUGAAAGGAUCAACUACAACAAGCUUGGCAAAAUUGAAUAUCAUGUUAACAAUCUGCCAGGAAUAUUUUAUAGCAAAAGUAGAGCAAGAUUAAGACAUGCUAUGGCACUCCAUAAUUGCAAACAGGGGCAUGGAUGGAUAGAACACAACAAUAUAUACACAACAUCCUUACUGAACAUGCCCAAAAGAAGCAUAGAUCUCUCUGUAGACACAUGGAUACAUGGCAACAAAAUUAUAGCAGUCACAGACUUAGCAAAAUUUCGAAGUCCCUGAAAACAGAAACAUCACGAAGCGUAGUUUGCAUGCUUGUGCUAGUCACCAUAUAGAUCAAAAAAAUACAUGGAAUAUACCUCUGUAAAUAUGGCAUGGCAUAGAUCAAAACACGUGUAGAGCUCAUGCCCAUAAAAUGCACACAUCGAAUGCAACAAAAAUAACAAAACUCCAAGUUCUGAUAAAUAACAGCAGUAAACAUCAUAUAGCACUCUUGCACCAGAGAUUUGGGCAUCAAGAUGGACUCAAAUGAGCAUGGCACAAUGUAACAAAAUUUAGAGCAUCUCGAGGAUGUAUCAUGCACGCAAAACGGAGCAGUAUGCAGAGAGUUAUGAUGCGAUGAACAGAGCCACUUAUUGCAAAUAUAUCGGGACUUGGAAGAUUUUCGGGGGGGAGAAAGUCAACCGUCUCGAUCUGGAUCUGGCGCGGCUCGGGCGCGCGGUCGCCGAGGAUCGCCGGGGCUGGCGCGGCUGUCGGAGACGGAGGGAGACGGCGCGCUCGGGCGGAGAGGAGGAGGCGGAGGCGCCGGGGUUCGGGCGGCGCUCGCCGGCGGGAGGAGGCGGCNNNNNNNNNNNNNNNNNNNNNNNNNNNNNNNNNNNNNNNNNNNNNNNNNNNNNNNNNNNNNNNNNNNNNNNNNNNNNNNNNNNNNNNNNNNNNNNNNNNNNNNNNNNNNNNNNNNNNNNNNNNNNNNNNNNNNNNNNNNNNNNNNNNNNNNNNNNNNNNNNNNNNNNNNNNNNNNNNNNNNNNNNNNNNNNNNNNNNNNNNNNNNNNNNNNNNNNNNNNNNNNNNNNNNNNNNNNNNNNNNNNNNNNNNNNNNNNNNNNNNNNNNNNNNNNNNNNNNNNNNNNNNNNNNNNNNNNNNNNNNNNNNNNNNNNNNNNNNNNNNNNNNNNNNNNNNNNNNNNNNNNNNNNNNNNNNNNNNNNNNNNNNNNNNNNNNNNNNNNNNNNNNNNNNNNNNNNNNNNNNNNNNNNNNNNNNNNNNNNNNNNNNNNNNNNNNNNNNNNNNNNNNNNNNNNNNNNNNNNNNNNNNNNNNNNNNNNNNNNNNNNNNNNNNNNNNNNNNNNNNNNNNNNNNNNNNNNNNNNNNNNNNNNNNNNNNNNNNNNNNNNNNNNNNNNNNNNNNNNNNNNNNNNNNNNNNNNNNNNNNNNNNNNNNNNNNNNNNNNNNNNNNNNNNNNNNNNNNNNNNNNNNNNNNNNNNNNNNNNNNNNNNNNNNNNNNNNNNNNNNNNGCUGACGUGGUGGCGGCGGAUUGGGCGAGGGCGGCGGCGCAGUUUGUCCGGCGCGCGGAGGGAGCGGUGGCUAGGGUUUGGACCCGGAAUUCGGGGGAGAUGUGCACAUAUUUAUAGGUAGAGGGAGCUAGGAGGCUCCAAAUGGAGUGCGGUUUUCGCCCACACGAUCGGGAUCGAACGACCGAGAGCAUGGAAGGGGCUUAGAGGGGUUAUUGGACUGUUUGGAGGGGGGGUUUUGCUGCAACACACAAAAGACCUUUGCGGUUACCCGGUUAACCGUUGGAGCACCAAACGACCUCCAAAUGGAACGAAACUUGACAGGUGGUCUACCGGUGGUAUACCAAGGCCACUUGACAAAACUUGGUCCAUUCCGAGAAUGUUUAACACCCGCUCACGAAAAGAGACAAGAGGGGUGCGCCGGUGCAUGUGGGAGUGUCAGAUUGCAAAACGGACAACGGGGAAAAUGCUCGGAUGCAUGAGACGAACACGAAUGCAAAUGAGAUGCGCAUGAUGACAUGAUAUGAGAUGCAUGACAUGAACAAAAUGCAAAACGGAAGACAAAAACCCAACCACGGAGGGAAUAUCAUAACACAUGACCGAAAAUGGCAAGAGUUGGAGUUACAAAUAUGGAAAGUUACAUCCGGGGUGUUACAUUCGCUUGGACAUUUUUAUACAUUAACUGAGUUUUAUGUGCAUUCAUGUGCAUAAUUCAAAUUUGAACUACAGGCACAUGCUCCAAUGCAUAUAAAUUAGUUGAAAAUUCAAAUAUGUGUCCUUGGUUGCCUGCUUAGGUCCCAUGCAAGAAAUGGGAAUGAAUGUCAAACACCCUGCCACCGUCACUCGGCCGCAAACAUUGAGAUACCUGGUUUUUAAAUUCUAGUAAAUCCAAAACUCGUCUGAAAUUCAUGAAACUUGGCAUGCUAUUAUGGAGCGGCAUCAACAUGCCGUGGAAAUUUUUUGUCCUAUUUGGGGCAGGUUUGGGUAUAUGCUUCUCACAAACCAGAGCUUCUCACAUAAAGCAUGAUGGUUUCCGAUGGGAAUGUCCCACCUUUGGGGACGAAACGAUAUCCAUUGCCUCUUAUUGCUUCCAAUUUUUUUCUCGUGUCAACAUAGAACAACAGGAGUGUUGUGUCAAUUUUAGUGAUUUUUCGGGGUUCGUUUGGACAUUUUUAUGCAUUAACUGAGUUUUCAAUGCAUUUAUUUGCAUAAUUCAAAUUUGAACUACAUGCACAUGCUCCAGUGCAUAUAAAUUGGUUGAAAAAUCAAAUAUUUGUCCUUGGGUGCAUGCUUAGGUCCCAUGCAAGAAAUGGGAAUGAAUUUCAAACACCAGGGGACCGUUGAUUGCCGGCAAAACAUUGAGAUGCCUGGUUUUUAAAUUCUAGUAAAUCCAAAACUUUUCUGAAGUUCAUGAAACUAAGCAUGUUAUCAUGGAGCGGCAUCAACAUGUCGUGAUAAAAUUUUUGUCCCAUUUGGGGCAGGUUUGGGUAUAUGCUUCUCACAGACCAGAGCUUCUCACAACAAGCAUGAUGGUUUCGAUAGGGAACGUCCCACCUUUGGGGACGAAACGAUAUCCAUUGCCUCUUAUUGCUUUCAAAAAAUUUCUCGUGUCAACAUAGAACAACAGGAGUGUUGUGUCAACUUUUGUGAUUUUUCGGGGUUCGUUUGGACAUUUUUAUGCAUUAACUGAGUUUUCAGUGCAUUUAUGUGCAUAAUUCAAAUUUGAACUACAUGCAAAUGCUCCAGUGCAUAUAAAUUGGUUGAAAAAUCAAAUAUGUGUCCUUGGGUGCAUGCUUAUGUCCCAUGUAAGAAAUGGGAAUGAAUUUCAAACACCAGGGCACCAUUGAUUGCCGGCAAAACAUUGAGAUGCCUGGUUUUUAAAUUCUAGUAAAUCCAAAACUCAUCUGAAAUUCAUGAAACUUGGCAUGCUAUUAUGGAGCGGCAUCAACAUGCCGUGGAAAUUUUUUGUCCCAUUUGGGGCAGGUUUGGGUAUAUGCUUCUCACAAACCAGAGCUUCUCACAUAAAGCAUGAUGGUUUCGGAAGGGAACGUCCCACCUUUGGGGACGAAACGAUAUCCAUUGCCUCUUAUUGCUUCCAAAAAAAUUUCAUGUCAACAUAGAACAACAGGAGUGUUGUGUCAAUUUUCGUGAUUUUUCGGGGUUCGUUUGGACAUUUUUAUGCAUUAACUGAGUUUUCAAUGCAUUUAUGUGCAUAAUUCAAAUUUGAACUACACGCACAUGCUCCAGUGCAUAUAAAUUAGUUGAAAAAUAAAAUAUGUGUCCUUGGGUGCAUGCUUAGGUCCCAUGCAAGAAAUGGGAAUGAAUUUCAAACACCAGGGCACCGUUGAUUGCCGGCAAAACAUUGAGAUGCCUGGUUUUUAAAUUCUAGUAAAUCCAAAACUCGUCUGAAAUUCAUGAAACUUGGCAUGCUAUCAUGGAGCGGCAUCAACAUGUCGUGGUAAUUUUUUUGUCCCAUUAGGGGCAGGUUUGGGUAUAUGCUUCUCACAAACCAGAGCUUCUCACAACAAGCAUGACGGUUUCGAUAGGGAACGUCCCACCUUUGGGGACGAAACGAUAUCCAUUGCCUCUUAUUGCUUUCAAAAAAUUUCUCGUGUCAACAUAGAACAACAGGAGUGUUGUGUCAAUUUUUGUGAUUUUUUGGUGUUUGUUUGGACAUUUUUAUGCAUUAACUGAGUUUUCUGUGCAUUCAUGUGCAUAAUUCAAAUUUGAACUACAUGCACAUGCUCCAGUGCAUAUAAAUCGGUUGAAGAAUCAAAUCUGUGUCCUUGGGUGCAUGCUUAGGUCCCAUGCAAGAAAUGGGAAUGAAUUUCAAACACCAGGGCACCGUUGAUUGCCGGCAAAACAUUGAGAUGCCUGGUUUUUAAAUUCUAGUAAAUCCAAAACUCGUCUAAAAUUCAUGAAACUUGGCAUGCUAUCAUGGAGCGGCACCAACAUGCCGUGGUAAAUUUUUUGUCCCAUUUGGGGCAGGUUUGGGUAGAUGCUUCUCACAAACCAGAGCUUCUCACAACAAGCAUGAUGGUUUCGGUAGGGAACGUCCCACCUUUGGGGACGAAACGAUAUCCAUUGCCUCUUAUUGCUUUCAAAUUUUUUUCUCGUGUCAACAUAGAACAACAGGAGUGUUGUGUCAAUUUUUGUGAUUUUUCGGGGUUCUUUUGGACAUUUUUAUGCAUUAACUGAGUUUUCAAUGCAUUUUAUGUGCAUAAUUGAAAUUUGAACUACAAACACAUGCUCCAGUGCAUAUAAAUUGGUUGACAAAUCAAAUCUGUGUCCUUGGGUGCAUGCUUAGGUUCCAUGCAAGAAAUGGGAAUGAAUUUCAAACACGAGGGCACCGUUGAUUACUGGCAAAACGUUGAGAUACUUUAUUUUUAAAUUCUAGUAAAUCUAAAACUCGUCUGAAAUUCAUGAAACUUGGAAUGCUAUCAUGGAAUGGCACCCGACAUGCUGUGGUAUUUUUCGUGUCCAUUUUGAGAGAAGGCGCACUCGAAUAAUGACAGCCAACAAAGGCAUUUUGCAAAAAUAGCUGCCACUUUAAUAUCUCAAACGUUUGUAUAAUUCAAACCGUGUGUGUUCUGUUAACCAUUCAAGUGACGCCACGUGUCUUGGUUUUAAUGGUUGUAGGAGGUGCCAUGCGGACAGCUGCUUGACCUUGACUGAACGGGAGGCGUGCGAGCGCAGUCCGGUGCGCAGGCUGACCGAGAGGCGUGCA
This 27636-nucleotide long non-coding RNA is filed under the name Triticum aestivum (bread wheat). Its description in RNAcentral is "long non-coding RNA (TAES_LNC013515)". The record is from RNAcentral. Lineage: Eukaryota; Viridiplantae; Streptophyta; Magnoliopsida; Poales; Poaceae.